This 567-nucleotide long non-coding RNA is filed under the name Anas platyrhynchos platyrhynchos (common mallard). RNAcentral's name for it is "lncRNA (ENSAPLG00000018029.1)". The record is from RNAcentral. Lineage: Eukaryota; Metazoa; Chordata; Aves; Anseriformes; Anatidae.
GUUGGAGUUUACCAUCCUGAUGAACUUACACAUGACCUUGGGUAAUUUGCUCAGAUCCUCAAAGCAACACAGACACCUCAUUCCUGUUGAUUUAAAUUAGAAGUAAUAUCCUUGAAAGGCCAGUCAUAAUCUUUCUGGACUUCAUUUCUCUUCAAAAAACAGGGACAGCAGCACCUCACUCUGCCUGGGUUUUGAGAGGAGAAACACAAUAAAGAUGCUGAAGAGCUUGCUUACAACACUAUCAAGGAACAUAUGAGCAAUGGUAGUAAGGCUUUAUACCCCCAAGGCCAUCUCUGGAUGGAGAAGACAGAAAACAGGAAAACAGAGGGCUGGCCACCUGCAGAAAGAAAGGAAGAUUCAGACAAUAGUGACAUUUGGAACCAAAACCCUGGUUUUAUAACACAAAGAUCAUUGGCAAAGGGUAACACAGCGACAUCCGUCAAGCUCUGUGCAACCCUGGAUGUUCCACUGCAGUGGGGAAGGUGCAGAACUGGGACCUUUCUGUACAGAAAUGGCAAAAGCUCAGUAUUUGGGUUUAAUUCUGAAGAUAAAUGUACUUUAUUAACU